GCAGUGGUGGUACAGUACUAGAAUUCUCACCUUCCACGUGAGGAACCUGGGUUCAAUUCCUGGCUAGUACC
This 71-nucleotide transfer RNA is filed under the name Loxodonta africana (African savanna elephant). It matches the Rfam family "tRNA". Rfam says of the family: Transfer RNA (tRNA) molecules are approximately 80 nucleotides in length. Their secondary structure includes four short double-helical elements and three loops (D, anti-codon, and T loops). Further hydrogen bonds mediate the characteristic L-shaped molecular structure. tRNAs have two regions of fundamental functional importance: the anti-codon, which is responsible for specific mRNA codon recognition, and the 3' end, to which the tRNAs corresponding amino acid is attached (by aminoacyl-tRNA synthetases). tRNAs cope with the degeneracy of the genetic code in two manners: having more than one tRNA (with a specific anti-codon) for a particular amino acid; and 'wobble' base-pairing, i.e. permitting non-standard base-pairing at the 3rd anti-codon position. The record is from Rfam by way of RNAcentral. Lineage: Eukaryota; Metazoa; Chordata; Mammalia; Proboscidea; Elephantidae.